Megalobrama amblycephala (Wuchang bream) is the source of this 299-nucleotide long non-coding RNA. RefSeq lists it as uncharacterized. The transcript is spliced from 3 exons. NCBI's taxonomy places the organism in Eukaryota, Metazoa, Chordata, Actinopteri, Cypriniformes, Xenocyprididae. The record is from RefSeq and is a predicted model, not a curated record.
UUCAGUCAGGACGCGCUAUAAUGUCAGAAACUGCGAAUAUAUGCUGCAUGGAGAUAGAACAGGUCUUUCGGGCCAGUUCACGCUCUUUUUCCUGCACCUCUGUGUCAUCCAGCACCUCCAGACUGGGUAUCUGACUGAUCACAUACUGCCUGUCAUAGAGAAAUGAUACUCAUCCAGCAAGUUGUAACUGAGGUCCAGAACCUCCAGAGUGUCCUGUUGCUGAAGGAUGGUGUCAUAGGGAAUCUCCAAGAGGCCCUGGUAGGCAAAAGAGAGCCUCUGAGGACCCACCACCACAGCAG